GUUGUAUAGUCAAGUAAUUAAGUGCAUGUGGUGGAUGCCUUGGCAGUCAGAGGCGAUGAAAGACGUGAUAGCCUGCGAAAAGCUCCGGGGAGGCGGCAAAUAUCCUUUGAUCCGGAGAUGUCUGAAUGGGGGAACCCACCUACUUUAAGGUAGGUAUUGCAACAUGAAUACAUAGUGUUGCAAGGCGAACGAGGGGAAGUGAAACAUCUCAGUACCCUUAGGAAAAGAAAUCAAUUGAGAUUCCCUCAGUAGCGGCGAGCGAACGGGGAUCAGCCCAUUAAGUUAUGUGUGUUUUAGUGGAACGCUCUGGGAAGUGCGAACGUAGAGGGUGAUAUUCCCGUACACGAAAGGGCACACAUAAUGAUGACGAGUAGGGCGAGGCACGUGAAACCUUGUCUGAAUAUGGGGGGACCAUCCUCCAAGGCUAAAUACUCCUGACUGACCGAUAGUGAACCAGUACCGUGAGGGAAAGGCGAAAAGAACCCCUGUGAGGGGAGUGAAAUAGAUCCUGAAACCGCAUGCAUACAAGCAGUGGGAGCACCUUCGUGGUGUGACUGCGUACCUUUUGUAUAAUGGGUCAGCGACUUAUAUUCAGUAGCGAGGUUAACCGUAUAGGGGAGCCGUAGAGAAAUCGAGUCUUAAUAGGGCGUUUAGUUGCUGGGUAUAGACCCGAAACCAGGCGAUCUAUCCAUGAGCAGGUUGAAGGUUGGGUAACACUAACUGGAGGACCGAACCCACUGUCGUUGAAAAGCCAGGGGAUGACUUGUGGAUAGGGGUGAAAGGCUAAUCAAGCCUGGUGAUAGCUGGUUCUCCCCGAAAGCUAUUUAGGUAGCGCCUCGGACGAAUACCAUAGGGGGUAGAGCACUGUUUCGGCUAGGGGGUCAUCCCGACUUACCAAACCGAUGCAAACUCCGAAUACCUAUGAGUACUAUCCGGGAGACAGACUGCGGGUGCUAACGUCCGUAGUCAAGAGGAAAACAAUCCAGACCGCCAGCUAAGGCCCCAAAAUCAUAGUUAAGUGGGAAACGAUGUGGGAAGGCAUAGACAGCUAGGAGGUUGGCUUAGAAGCAGCCACCCUUUAAAGAAAGCGUAAUAGCUCACUAGUCGAGUCGGCCUGCGCGGAAGAUGUAACGGGGCUAAAACUAUGUGCCGAAGCUGCGGAUNNNNNNNNNNNNNNNNNNAUGCUGGAGGUAUCAGAAGUGCGAAUGCUGACGUGAGUAACGACAAAACGGGUGAAAAACCCGUUCGCCGAAAGACCAAGGGUUCCAGUCCAACGUUAAUCGGGGCUGGGUGAGUCGACCCCUAAGGCGAGGCCGAAAGGCGUAGUCGAUGGGAAAAUGGUUAAUAUUCCAUUACUUCUGUGUAAUGCGAUGAGAGGACGGAGAAGGCUAAAUCAGCCUGGCGUUGGUUGUCCAGGUGAAAGGAUGUAGGCAUGUAUCUUAGGCAAAUCCGGGGUACUCUAUGCUGAGAUCUGAUAGCAAGCUGUACUUGUACAGCGAAGUGGUUGAUGCCAUGCUUCCAGGAAAAGUCUCUAAGCUUCAGUUACACAGGAAUCGUACCCGAAACCGACACAGGUGGUCAGGUCGAGUAGACCAAGGCGCUUGAGAGAACUCUGCUGAAGGAACUAGGCAAAAUGGUACCGUAACUUCGGGAGAAGGUACGCUGUUGUUGGUGAUGGAACUCGCUUCCUGAGCUGACGACAGCCGCAGAAACCAGGCCGCUGCAACUGUUUAUUAAAAACAUAGCACUCUGCAAACACGAAAGUGGACGUAUAGGGUGUGAUGCCUGCCCGGUGCUGGAAGGUUAAUUGAUGGGGUUAGCGUAAGCGAAGCUCUUGAUCGAAGCCCCAGUAAACGGCGGCCGUAACUAUAACGGUCCUAAGGUAGCGAAAUUCCUUGUCGGGUAAGUUCCGACCUGCACGAAUGGCAUAAUGAUGGCGGCGCUGUCUCCAGCAGAGGCUCAGUGAAAUCGAAAUCGCUGUGAAGAUGCAGUGUACCCGCGGCUAGACGGAAAGACCCCGUGAACCUUUACUGCAGCUUGACACUGAACUUUGACCUUACUUGUGUAGGAUAGGUGGGAGGCUUUGAAGCUGGAACGCUAGUUCCAGUGGAGCCGUCCUUGAAAUACCACCCUGGUAAUGUUGAGGUUCUAACUCUGUCCCGUGAUCCGGGACGAGGACCGUGUCUGGUGGGUAGUUUGACUGGGGCGGUCUCCUCCUAAAGAGUAACGGAGGAGUACGAAGGUGCGCUCAGCGUGGUCGGAAAUCACGCGUAGAGUAUAAAGGCAAAAGCGCGCUUAACUGCGAGACCCACAAGUCGAGCAGGUACGAAAGUAGGUCUUAGUGAUCCGGUGGUUCUGUAUGGAAGGGCCAUCGCUCAACGGAUAAAAGGUACUCUGGGGAUAACAGGCUGAUACCGCCCAAGAGUUCAUAUCGACGGCGGUGUUUGGCACCUCGAUGUCGGCUCAUCUCAUCCUGGGGCUGAAGCAGGUCCCAAGGGUAUGGCUGUUCGCCAUUUAAAGAGGUACGCGAGCUGGGUUUAGAACGUCGUGAGACAGUUCGGUCCCUAUCUACCGUGGGCGCUGGAAAUUUGAGAGGAUCUGCUCCUAGUACGAGAGGACCAGAGUGGACGAACCUCUGGUGUACCGGUUGUGACGCCAGUCGCAUCGCCGGGUAGCUAUGUUCGGAAGGGAUAACCGCUGAAAGCAUCUAAGCGGGAAGCCUACCUCAAGAUAAGAUUUCCCUAGGACUUUAUGUCCUCUAAAGAGCCGUUCGAGACUAGGACGUUGAUAGGUUGGAUGUGGAAGCAUAGUGAUAUGUGAAGCUGACCAAUACUAAUUGCUCGUGAGGCUUGACUAUACAACACCCAAGCAGUUG
RNAcentral lists this ribosomal RNA (2875 nucleotides) under Acinetobacter baumannii. RNAcentral describes it as "bacterial LSU rRNA". It matches the Rfam family "Bacterial large subunit ribosomal RNA". Lineage: Bacteria; Pseudomonadati; Pseudomonadota; Gammaproteobacteria; Moraxellales; Moraxellaceae. The record is from RNAcentral.